RNAcentral lists this ribosomal RNA (465 nucleotides) under uncultured bacterium. RNAcentral's name for it is "partial 16S ribosomal RNA". It matches the Rfam family "Bacterial small subunit ribosomal RNA", at positions 338 to 795 of the family's 1533-position model. The record is from RNAcentral.
CCUACGGGAGGCAGCAGUGGGGAAUAUUGCGCAAUGGGCGACAGCCUGACGCAGCGACGCCGCGUGAGGGAUGAAGGUCUUCGGAUCGUAAACCUCUGUCAGCAGGGAAGAACGGUCACUGUGCUAAUCAGCAGUGAAUUGACGGUACCUGCAAAGGAAGCACCGGCUAACUCCGUGCCAGCAGCCGCGGUAAUACGGAGGGUGCGAGCGUUAAUCGGAAUUACUGGGCGUAAAGCGCUCGUAGGCGGUAUGUCAAGUCAAGGGUGAAAUCCCCGCGCUCAACGUGGGAACUGCCUUUGAAACUGGCAAACUGGAGUGUGUGAGAGGAUAGUGGAAUUCCAGGUGUAGGAGUGAAAGCCGUAGAUAUCUGGAGGAACAUCAGUGGCGAAGGCGACUAUCUGGCACAUAACUGACGCUGAGGAGCGAAAGCGUGGGUAGCAAACAGGAUUAGAUACCCUAGUAGUC